CUAUUCAUCUCACAAUGAGGUUUAUAUAGGAGUACCUCAGGUUUACAAAAGGUAACUAUUUAACGAUUACAUCAAUUACUCAUCUGAUUACAAUCAAGCAAUCGCUAAUUAUAUUAUGUUAAUCACCAAUCAAUCUUAAUUGGCGUAUAUCACGCAACACUAAUUGCUAUUACAUGAAUAGCCACAUUAAUAUUUACAACAUUAUUCACAUAUUUAUGCAGUUUGUAUGUAAUUGAUGGACAUCACAUUAAUUAGCUGCUCAAUAUGAUUUUCGGUUUUGAUAAAAAGGAAUAUACAAAGUUUUUUUUUUUUUCGUUGAAGGAGGUUAGACUUUGUUAAAAGAAAAGGAUUAUAACAGCAGUGCCAAGCCAUCCAAAGAAAAAGCAAAAAAAAAAAAAAAAACUAGAUGCACCACCUUUCAAAAAGAAAUAAAACUAGUUAGAUGGAACAACUGCAUCAAAAAUACAUGAAAAUAGAAAUAUAGCAAGAGCACUAGCGCGAAGCCAAUUUUACCACUACGGAUUGUUGCCGUAUAAUGAAUUUUGUGAUCGAUGGUAUGACUACUCAUGCAUAUCUAACGCACAAAAUGACAAAAAUCAAUUUUGUGAAGAACAGAGGAUAAUCUUCCAUCAAACGAUCGAAGUUGGCCAGGGAUGUUAGAACAUGACCAUGUUGACAGACGAUCCUUUACGAAAAAGUACCAUAAAUUCGAAUCCCGAAUCCAAUACCAAUAACGAACAGGGCCCAAAACCAAAGAAAAAAAAACAAAAGAAAAAAAAAAAGAUCAAUAGGGAAGAGAAUAUAACAUGGGAUAUACCUCAAGGACCAGGUUUUGCGCUGGCCUUACUUGCACUAAAGAGAGAAAGCAUCUCUUCUUUGGGUCUUGCCCUUUUCUUCCUUUCUUUCUCUGCUUCAUCUGUAAAACACGAAAGCAAUGGAGGAUAUCAGAAAGAGACGACCCAUGAAGACCGAAUAUCUGAAAACAUAAAUUAGCAACAAUCUUUUCAGAUAAAAGGAGGAGGAGAUAUGGCAUUAUAUUGCAUGGGAAUGUGUUCAAGGAUAUCCAUGGCAUAUGCUCCAUCUAUUCCUCUGCCCCUUAUUCCCUUUCUGGUUUCUCAAACUCAUCAGUGGCUAUAUAUACUGCACUCAGUUAUUGGUGCAUCAUGCAUGUGUGUGGGUUGUGAGGAACCUUGAUAGAUAAGCAAAUUAGUUGUAGGGCGUCUUUCCUUUGGCAGGCAAUGGUGGUUUUGUUUCGAUGGAUCGAUCACGGUUUUCGCCUUGUGAUUGAUUAUUGAUUUAUGAUCUGCCAAAGGAGAGUUGCCCUGCAACUCUUUCUGCUUAAUGUGAUCUACUGCGACAGUCUAAAAGGUUGUGUUAGUUUCAUGCAGGAGGUAUGGCAUAUCAGAAAACUCGGAAACAGAAUUGGCAAGGAACUUGCAGCUUCAGGUCACACACAUCUAUAGGGAGGGCAAUAUAUGUUCCAGCUGAUGUCCUUGCCAACUAUAGUGUUUCUGAUGAGGGCAAUCAUGGUUGGGGUGUCCUCACCCAGCUCUUGGCUCUUGCUUUUGGAUGUGAUUUUAAUGCGUGGCUGGCUUAUAGGUUCAGGUAGCUUGAUGAUGUAAUGAUGUAUGUAUUGUCUUUCUUUGUUCUCUUUUCAGUUGGGUUUUUGUUAGGUCUAGAGCGCUUUAGUAAGUUCACUCAAUCUCUUAUAUUAGGUUGCUUUCUUGAGCCUGGUUUUGGUUUGGUCCGCCGGAUCCUUUGUAUUUUCACUUUAUAUUAAUAAAAUUUUGGGUUAAGACGAUAA
This is a long non-coding RNA of Rosa rugosa (rugosa rose), 1804 nucleotides long. RefSeq lists it as uncharacterized. The record is from RefSeq and is a predicted model, not a curated record. NCBI's taxonomy places the organism in Eukaryota, Viridiplantae, Streptophyta, Magnoliopsida, Rosales, Rosaceae. The transcript is spliced from 2 exons.